AUUGAACGCUGGCGGCAGGCUUAACACAUGCAAGUCGAGCGGGGUGAUGGUGCUUGCACUAUCACUUAGCGGCGGACGGGUGAGUAAUGCUUAGGAAUCUGCCUAUUAGUGGGGGACAACAUCUCGAAAGGGAUGCUAAUACCGCAUACGUCCUACGGGAGAAAGCAGGGGAUCACUUGUGACCUUGCGCUAAUAGAUGAGCCUAAGUCGGAUUAGCUAGUUGGUGGGGUAAAGGCCUACCAAGGCGACGAUCUGUAGCGGGUCUGAGAGGAGGAUCCGCCACACUGGGACUGAGACACGGCCCAGACUCCGACGGGAGGCAGCAGUGGGGAAUAUUGGACAUGGGGGGAACCCUGAUCCAGCCAUGCCGCGUGUGUGAAGAAGGCCUUAUGGUUGUAAAGCACUUUAAGCGAGGAGGAGGCUCUUUUGGUUAAUACCCAAGAUGAGUGGACGUUACUCGCAGAAUAAGCACCGGCUAACUCUGUGCCAGCAGCCGCCGUAA
Molecule: ribosomal RNA, 502 nt
Filed under: uncultured bacterium
Lineage: Bacteria
Description: partial 16S ribosomal RNA
Rfam family: Bacterial small subunit ribosomal RNA
Source: RNAcentral